Rattus norvegicus (Norway rat) is the source of this 2803-nucleotide long non-coding RNA. RefSeq lists it as uncharacterized. NCBI's taxonomy places the organism in Eukaryota, Metazoa, Chordata, Mammalia, Rodentia, Muridae. The record is from RefSeq and is a predicted model, not a curated record.
CUGCCCGCUGCUGAUUGGAAGGCUCUGCUAUGCGCGAUCCUGAUUGGUUCCAGGGCCACUGAUGGACAGGACCAGAGACCCAUCGUCUUCAGCAUAGUCCGGAAACUGCUGCUCUGGCCUGGGUUCUCAGAGGUACUUCACAGCUGGCUCAGAUCUGACUGGGCUUGUGCGCCUUGCCGAAGUUUCCCGUCCUUAUCCCAUUCCCUCCUCCCCCUCCUCCCCCUCCUCCCCCUCCUCCCCCUCCUCCUCCUUCUAUGAGGGUGUUCUCCACCCAACCACCUUCUCACUUCCCCGCCCUUACAUUCUCCUGGAGGUGGGGGUGGGGGUCCAGCCUUGGCAGGCCCUUAAGGCCAUCCUCUGCUACAUAUGCAGCUGAAACCAUGGGUCUGUCCGUGUGUACUCUUUGGGUAGUGGUUUAGUCCCUGGGAGCUCUGGUUGGUUGGUACUGUUGUACUUACGGAGAGCCAAGCCCUUCAGCUCCUUCAAUCCUUCCCCUAACUCCUCCAAUGGGACCCCACUCAGUUCAAUGGUUGGCUGCUAGCAUUCACCUCUGAUUUGUCAGGCUCUGACAGAGCCUCUCAGGAGACAGCUGUAUCACACUCCUGUCAGCAUGCACUUCUUGGCAUCAGCAGUAUUGUCUGUGUUUGCUGGCUAUAUGUGUAUGGGCUGGAUCCCCAGGUGGGCCAGGCUCUGAAUGGCCAUUCCUCAGUCUCUGCUCCAAACUUUGUUUCCAUAUCUCCUCCUAUGAAUAUUUUUGUUCCCCCUCUUAAGAAGGACCCCCCUUUUUUUUGGACCCCCUUUUAAGAAGGACUGAAGCAUCCACACUUUGGUCGUUCUUCUUGAGCUUCACGUAGUCUAUGGAUUAGCUUUGGGCUAAUAUCAAGUUUUACAUGGUAUGAGUGAGAGUGCACACCAUGUGUUUUUUGUGAUUGGGCUACUGUAGGGCUCUUCGGAUUGCUCUUCACAGUGAUCUCUUGCCCGGCUAGGUGCUCAGGUUCUGGCGAAGGUAGAGAGUUCAGGCAGGGAGGGAGAACAGCUUUCGCUGCCCCCGCUGCCCGCCUCCCGCUCCCCCACCCAGCUGCCCGCCCUUCUCCUUUGAGCGGCUUGGGCUGCUCAGGCCCGGCUGAGCCAGCAGGAGACUGACUAGCCAGUGAGGAGCUUCUGGAGGUGAUUUCGGCGGUGUUACAGCUCUUAUGACAGAAGCUCUCAGACGAUGGAAUAAUUCCUGCACGCCUUUAAUUCUGAACACGACCCUUAAAUACAGUUUUUUGGAUGGGUCGGUGUCUGACGGCAGGCAGAAGAUAUACUGGUAGAAGCAAAGUGUGGAGAGAGGUUAGCUAACCACAAAAGAAUGGGCCUGACUCGAUAACCAGGAUAUUGGCUGGAGGAGAGAGUGAAACUAUGUCUUCUGGACAAGAUAUAGCUGCACGAGAUCAAGCCAAUUCAAACUCCAGCAUAGAUGGGAGAAGAGUAUCCUAAGGCCUACCCCAGCUGGUGGAAGUAUGCAGACGAUGGCUGCUGAGGAACAAAGAGUCACUUUUUGUUAGCGAUGUGGCUGCUGGCAGGUUGCCCAUUAACCUGCCCCCCAGUGAAUGUUCCCACACCCACACGCAUUGGUUAGUCUUGGCAUUAUUAAUAAUCACUAUAAAAGUAAAAACAAUAGCCCCCUUUUCUGGCCUCUGCAGGCUGUGCGUUCCAUGUCCAAAUACCCCCUCCUGUAUAUAUAAAUUAAAUGUAUUAAAGAUAAAAUCUUGGGCCGCAGAGAUGACACACUGACUGCAGUUCAGUUCCCAGCACCACAUCAAAAGGUUUACAGCUCUACAACUCCAAGGGAUUUGACAGCCUCUGACUCUGUGAGCACCUUCAUUCAUACACUUCCCUAUACACACAAUUCAUAAUUAUAAAUACUCAGUCUUUAAAGCUAAAAGUGUUUUUAAAAAAGACUAGAUUUGCUUACAGAGUAGUGUCAGCAUUUCAUCAGUGGUCGCGUGUCAGCACACAGAGCAAACCAUGAACAGGGGUGCUCUAAAACCAAUUAAAGCCACUACCACACCCCAUUAUUUAUAGAAAAGGACAAGCAGGAGUGACUUGUACUAAGACGUAAAGUUAAAAAUGAAUGAAAUUAAGGAGGUUGACAGGGAAUGGUAAGAAAAAGGGAAAACACUGCAAAGAUAAAAGGGCAUCUGGUGUUGUCGUAGUGUGAACAUAUCUUUUAUUUGCCUGAAUUGUCAUCUCCGAGGAUCAGUGCCUCUGUCUGCUACCCUAGACCUAGUCAUGAAAGCUUCUAGUCCCCAUACAACCUUAUCUAGGCCUAGAAUGUUUUCAGACUCAGAUUUCCUGCUGAAUAAGUUCACCCUUCCUAGCUCUUUCUGAGUCCUGGCUGGCUGAUUUAUCUCAGCUGUUCUGGUCCAACUCCUCUCCAAGCUGACUGGUUCAAUCUGUCCUCUCUGUGCUUUUCCUGCAUUGCUUUGUUUAGCCUCAAACUGAGAAAACUGAGUUAGCCAGAGUCAGGCUGACUCCAUGACAGGCUGCAAGUUGGCACUUUGGGAGACUAGGCCUAAGUUUGUUUCCCAGGAACCACUGGUCAGCCACCCCAGCGGCAGGCACUGAUCUUAGGAUUCGUGCCACCCAGAGCCCUAACAAGUAACAAAGACACCCUGAAGAUACAGCCAACAAAUCAAGAGAAAGUAAGUCACCCAUCCUACCCUAACAGGCUUUAAAUGACCCUACAAAGCAGAUACUCUGUCUCCAUUCUCCGGCAAGCAGAAGAUGCUGUUGAAUAAACACUUUGCCUUCUACAUAC